This 257-nucleotide long non-coding RNA is filed under the name Capsella rubella. RNAcentral's name for it is "long non-coding RNA (CRUB_LNC001152)". The record is from RNAcentral. Lineage: Eukaryota; Viridiplantae; Streptophyta; Magnoliopsida; Brassicales; Brassicaceae.
UUGGAAAUUGUCAUAUUUUCUGUGGUUUUGUUGGUGUCACAAGAAGAAAAAGGGAAAUUUGUUUGCUAAAAUGUUAAUAUUAGACGAUAUGAAUUACAAGCUUAUAGAGUAGUGCAUUAAUUUCGUUUGAAUGAUUCAAAAAAAAAAAAAAUAACUUGUAAAGAAUCAUUCUACUACAUAAAAGCUGAAAGAGAGACUUGUAAUGACUGGAACCAAACAUGACAGUUUGAAGUUGAAUUCGAGGAGUAAAGGGAGAC